CACCCCCUCCCACCCCCAAACCACCAGGCCUAUACUCCAUCCUCUGCCCUAGCCAGUGGGCUGAGGUGGCCUUUUGCCAGAGCGUGAGACCAUUACAGCCACACACACAUACAAACACGCAUGUACAUGGUGGCUUUGUGUUGCUCCCUCCUGGUGUCCUCAGCUUCUGGAUCAACAACACAGUAACUAGUGUUGGAGCUGGAGAAGGAGGAUGGGGCCACCGUGGCUAGUGAGGGGAGUGAGAAGAGCUUGGAUGGGGGUGGAGAUGCAAGCAUUGUUCCUUUUUCUCUCAGCAGGGCUGCUGACCCUGACUCAUUCUACCCCUUGAGGAAGGUCCUUAGCGGUCUAGAGCUCUUGAGAAUCCUAUAUGCCCCUUGGAAAAGGAUUUUGGAGUGUUAGCCAGAAAGAAGAGGUCAUAGAAAUGUUUUAUUCAUUCAGUCAGUAAAUAUUUACUAAGUGCCUACUAUACGCCAGGUCCCUGUGUUAGGUGCUAGAAACAUCCUCUAUCUCCUGGUCCAAGCACAUAACACUUUGCUCCAGCCUCAGCCUAAAACAUUUUGUCCCCAGGGCCUUGUUCCAUGGCACCUGCAUCAGCCUGAGCCUCACCCUUUCCCACCUACCUCCUCCUGACUCAGGGCUACCUUCCCCAGCUGCAGAGUACCUUUCCUAGUGAGCAAAGAAGACCCUGCAAGAAAGAGCCUGAGGGAUAGACAUAAGGAUGGAGAAAAGGCCAGUUUCACCCAACUGCAGACCUCCAGGGAGUCUCAAAGACAUGCUCUAAAGGGUCUGGGCUAAGAGAUUUCCUUUAGAUUCAGGGAUAAGAUGGCUACACCUUCUGAACCUAGUUCGUUCCUUCCUUCUUUCCCAUGUUUGGACCAAGGAAUCGGAUCAGAUUUUUAUCAGAAUAUCUACUUGGAUUUAAGAGUCUUCAUUUGUUUAUUUAUUCAUUUACCCCUUUACCAUGUGCUUAUCCAUCCAUCCAUCCAUUCAACCAUUCACUCACUUAUUUUUUUAGGACCUACUCUGUGCCAGGCACUGGGGAGAGAGGGAUGGAUAUGGCAUGAUCAUUGGUCUCUGUGAGCCUAUUCUUUGGUCCCCAGGGUGUCUCUGUCAGCCUCAGCUACUUUCUCAGAACCCAGAUCUUCCUUCUCGCCCCUCACAUAGGGACCAGACUCCAACUGAGGAGGUCUCCCAGUGGGUAACUAGAAAUCCUGAACCAGAGGCCACUGAUAAUCAGGGACAGCCAGGAUGGAGGCUAGCCUAGUGGUUGGAGGGAUGAGGAAGGCAUUCAGCCAGGCCACUGAGCCCAUCACUGUGGCUUGGCUCCUUUGGUGAAAAAAAUAGCAAGUUUGGACAAGUGUCUCCCUGUGUCCUGAGCUCUGAGUUGCUCCCAGACAGGAGUCGCUCCCUUAGACAAACCACAGCCAAGGGCAACAGGGGCCCAGAGAGGACUAGAAGGGGGAGUAGGAACAUGGGGCUCAGGACAUGUCCAACACAGGCACAAUGGUGUAAGUGAGCCCUGCUGGCUGGGUCGGAGGUAUGAGCGUGUAUCGCGGGAGCUGCAGGUGAGGCAGAGGAAAGAGAAGCCAUGCUCAGGCUCACAGACAAGGAGAAGACGGACGCACAUAGUAUAAAACUGAGACAGCUACACAGCAAAUAGGGGCAGCUCUCUAGAAUCUGUUUUAGGAACUUAGGCGAGUAUUCUUCCCCCAGAGUACCCCAGUGGCGAAUAGGAGGUUGACGAUGGGGUUGAGAAAAGAAGAUUAUGACAGAGCGCCAGAGGGUGUGUGUGUAUGCACCUAGUCAUAUAUGAGUUUGGGUCUGUGUAAUUUUCUUUCUUCUGUGUCUCCUACUUCAUUCUAAAACCAGAAGGACUCUGAGUGGUUUGGGCUUCUCCGGGCCUCUCCUCCCCUUUCCACAUGUGGCUGAGGGUGAGUUAAUGGGACCUGCACACACAGAGGCUCACACAGCCUUGGAGACAGAGGCCCAUUCAUACCAGGACACUGUGGCACCUCUCUCUCAGGCUGGCCUGCGGUCCUAGUCCUGUAGCACCAACAUGCGCAAGUGAGAGACGUGCGCCUUUGCACAUGCAACAUUGCUCUCCAGCACACACACACAAAGCCACACUCAGGCUCUGUUAACCCUUCACCACCACAUGCAGGAAGUUCUUGGCUCUGGCUUUGCCUUUCUCAAGGCCUUUUACCCAACUGUGCACCCACCUGAGUUAACCCUUGAACAACCUUCUUGGAACCCCAGGGAGCCCACAGUGGGCUUGCCUAGCCUCCCAGUGCCUGGGAGGGGAAGUGAAUGCAAUCUCAGCCAAAGAACAGGAUGGAGGUGUUUCCUUCCAGCAGAGGAAGAGAGAAGACUACUAAAGUCUGGGUUCAAGUGACAGCUAUGCCACCUGCAAGCUAUAAGUCCUCAGACAGUUUACUUAAUCCCUCUGGGCUUCAGUCUCUGAACUCUAAGAUGAGGAGAGGUAAACCUGAGGUCCGUAGAUAAACCUACUGAAAUUAUAUGCAAAACAUGUAGAAUUCUACAUUUUGCUGGAAAGAGGUUUCAUGAGUUCAACCAACUUCUCAUAGGUCCCUUGAACGCCCUCAAAACUUAAGGACCAGUGAACUUCUUGAACAUUCCAGGACUGUAUAUGAGUCAAGUGCUUUUUGAAGAAACUGAGGCUCAGGGAGAUUGUCAGUUCCUCAGGAUCCCUUGAACAACACUUCAUCCUCGGGCUGGAGUCUAGAAGGAACCAGAGAAUGCAGGAAGGAGCCUUCGCCCUAAGGAGUUCCGGAUGAUGGGGUCCAUUCCACUAGGGAGUGGGGAAUCAGGGACUCCUCAACUCCUUUCCCAGUCCCCUUGAAGGACACUCCCAGGACUCCCUUCCUCUCACAUUUUUGCCUUGACCCUUCGGGAUUUGGGCUCCAGCUCCUUCCUGAGGGCAGGGAUGGUGGUCCUUGUUGCAUUCCCCAAGCCCAGGAAGAAUAUGACUUCCAGCCCUGCAGGAGCCUUCAUUUCUGUGGCCUCAUUUCCUUGUCCCCCUUUGCAAGGGAGAGCAUGAAGCUGUCCCUGGGUAGGCUUGGGUCCUCCUGCUAACCUGGGCCCCACUCAUGGAGCACCUCCCUCAGGUGUCUCUGCUUAGCAGUCACCUCCUGCUCUAACACAGACUUCUUCCUACCCUAACAGCCUGGCCCAAUUUCAUAGACAAUUCUAGAGAUUUCCUUUCAGUACAGAGCAGUGUGGCCUAGGGGCCCAGGGGCCUGUGAUGGUGGGACGUUUUCAGGGCUGGGUGGUCCAAAGGUGGGCUGGAAACUACUUAGGACACCAGUAGGGCAGGG
Molecule: long non-coding RNA, 3335 nt
Filed under: Equus caballus (horse)
Lineage: Eukaryota; Metazoa; Chordata; Mammalia; Perissodactyla; Equidae
Description: lncRNA (ENSECAG00000055244.1)
Source: RNAcentral